Molecule: ribosomal RNA, 477 nt
Filed under: uncultured bacterium
Lineage: Bacteria
Description: SSU rRNA
Rfam family: Bacterial small subunit ribosomal RNA
Source: RNAcentral
AGGACGAACGCUGGCGGCGUGCUUAACACAUGCAAGUCGAGCGAGGCCUUCCCUUCGGGGAAGUGCCCUAGCGGCGAACGGGUGAGUAACACGUGGGCAACCUGCCCCUAGCACUGGGAUAACUCCGGGAAACCGGGGCUAAUACCGGAUAUGACCUUUGAGGGCAUCCUCUUUGGUGUAAAGGAUUCUGGCUAGGGAUGGGCCCGCGGCCUAUCAGCUUGUUGGUGGGGUAAUGGCCUACCAAGGCGACGACGGGUAGCCGGCCUGAGAGGGCGACCGGCCACACUGGGGACUGAGACACGGCCCAGACUCCUACGGGAGGCAGCAGUGGGGAAUAUUGCACAAUGGGCGAAAGCCUGAUGCAGCGACGCCGCGUGAGGGAUGACGGCCUUCGGGUGUAACCUCUUUCAGUACCGACGAAGCGAAAGUGACGGUAGGUACAGAAGAAGCACCGGCCAACUACGUGCCAGCAGCCGC